CAGUCGCCGCGGUAAUACGGAGGGUGCAAGCGUUAAUCGGAAUUACUGGGCGUAAAGCGUGCGUAGGCGGUUCGUUAAGUCUGCUGUGAAAGCCCCGGGCUCAACCUGGGAAUGGCAGUGGAUACUGGCGAGCUAGAGUGUGUCAGAGGAUGGUGGAAUUCCCGGUGUAGCGGUGAAAUGCGUAGAGAUCGGGAGGAACAUCAGUGGCGAAGGCGGCCAUCUGGGACAACACUGACGCUGAGGCACGAAAGCGUGGGGAGCAAACAGGAUUAGAUACCCCAGUAGUCCCUGUCUCUUAUAC
This 301-nucleotide ribosomal RNA is filed under the name uncultured bacterium. RNAcentral's name for it is "partial 16S ribosomal RNA". It matches the Rfam family "Bacterial small subunit ribosomal RNA", at positions 509 to 807 of the family's 1533-position model. The record is from RNAcentral.